CCAGCCGCCGCGGUAAUACGUAGGUGGCAAGCGUUGUCCGGAAUUAUUGGGCGUAAAGGGCGUGUAGGUGGAUCUUUAAGUCGUGUGUCUAAGUGCGGAGCUCAACUCCGUAUGGGCGCAGGAAACUGGGGAUCUUGAGUGCAGGAGAGGAAAGUGGAAUUCCCAGUGUAGCGGUGAAAUGCGUAGAUAUUGGGAGGAACACCAGUGGCGAAGGCGACUUUCUGGACUGUGUCUGACACUGAGGCGCGAAAGCUAGGGGAGCGAACGGGAUUAGAUACCCCGGUAGUCCUAGCCGUAAACGAUGGGUACUAGGUGUAGAGGGUAUCGACCCCCUCUGUGCCGCAAGCAAACGCAAUAAGUACCCCGCCUGGGGAGUACGGCCGCAAGGUUGAAACUCAAAGGAAUUGACGGGGGCCCGCACA
This 422-nucleotide ribosomal RNA is filed under the name uncultured bacterium. Its description in RNAcentral is "bacterial SSU rRNA". It matches the Rfam family "Bacterial small subunit ribosomal RNA", at positions 508 to 927 of the family's 1533-position model. The record is from RNAcentral.